AAUAGAUACCCUGGUAGUCCACCCCGUAAACGUUGGGAACUAGUUGUAGGGUCCUUUCCACGGAUUCCGUGACGCAGCUAACGCAUUAAGUUCCCCGCCUGGGGAAUACGGCCGCAAGGCUAAAACUCAAAGGGAUUGACGGGGACCCGCACAAGCGGCGGAGCAUGCGGAUUAAUUCGAUGCAACGCGAAGAACCUUACCAAGGCUUGACAUACACCAGAACACCCUAGAAAUAGGGGACUCUUUGGACACUGGUGAACAGGUGGUGCAUGGUUGUCGUCAGCUCGUGUCGUGAGAUGUUGGGUUAAGUCCCGCAACGAGCGCAACCCUCGUUCUAUGUUGCCAGCACGUAAUGGUGGGAACUCAUGGGAUACUGCCGGGGUCAACUCGGAGGAAGGUGGGGAUGACGGUCAAAUCAUCAUGCCCCUUAUGUCUUGGGCUUCACGCAUGCUACAAUGGCCGGUACAAAGGGCUGCAAUACCGUGAGGUGGAGCGAAUCCCAAAAAGCCGGUCCCAGUUCGGAUUGAGGUCUGCAACUCGA
This 541-nucleotide ribosomal RNA is filed under the name uncultured bacterium. Its description in RNAcentral is "bacterial SSU rRNA". It matches the Rfam family "Bacterial small subunit ribosomal RNA", at positions 777 to 1315 of the family's 1533-position model. The record is from RNAcentral.